Molecule: ribosomal RNA, 485 nt
Filed under: uncultured bacterium
Lineage: Bacteria
Description: bacterial SSU rRNA
Rfam family: Bacterial small subunit ribosomal RNA
Source: RNAcentral
GAUAAACGCUGGCGGCGUGCCUAAUACAUGCAAGUCGAUCGAUGGAUGCCCAGCUUGCUGGGAGGAAAUAGAGGCGAACGGGUGAGUAAUACGUAAGCAACCUGCCCACGAAGACCGGGAUAAUCCCUGGAAACGGGGACUAAGACCGGAUAGGUAACAGAACCGCAUGAUUUUGUUAUUAAAGGUUAAAACACUGGUGGAUGGGCUUACGGUGCAUUAGCUUGUUGGUGAGGUAACGGCCCACCAAGGCGAUGAUGCAUAGCUGGUCUGAGAGGAUGAACAGCCACAUUGGGACUGAGACACGGCCCAGACUCCUACGGGAGGCAGCAGUAGGGAAUUUUCGGCAAUGGGGGAAACCCUGACCGAGCAACGCCGCGUGAGUGAAGAAGGUCUUCGGAUUGUAAAGCUCUGUUGUAAGGGAAGAACGGCAUCUAGAGAAUAGGUGAGUGACGGUACCUUACCAGAAAGCUACGGCUAACUACGUG